AAUCAAUGGAGAGGGCACUGAUGAGAGCCCUUAUUGAUUGGCUUGAAGAAAGUUGAUGGACAGUUUAUCACCUUGUAAGGCGGCGGCUGGCGACCAGCCCCGCCAAGACCAAUGAAGCUCUUCUGCUGGUACUGUCGAAGGCUUGGGAACCCUUCGCCAGUUCGUGAGCUCAAGCAACUUCUUGUUACUAAUAAUCCUAACGUGGUUUUUUAAGUGAAACAAAGACGCAAGCUAAUAAUCU
This 241-nucleotide long non-coding RNA is filed under the name Gossypium barbadense (sea-island cotton). Its description in RNAcentral is "long non-coding RNA (GBAR_LNC011314)". Lineage: Eukaryota; Viridiplantae; Streptophyta; Magnoliopsida; Malvales; Malvaceae. The record is from RNAcentral.